This 254-nucleotide ribosomal RNA is filed under the name uncultured bacterium. RNAcentral describes it as "partial 16S ribosomal RNA". It matches the Rfam family "Bacterial small subunit ribosomal RNA", at positions 524 to 776 of the family's 1533-position model. The record is from RNAcentral.
UACGUAGGGUGCGAGCGUUGUCCGGAAUUAUUGGGCGUAAAGAGCGCGUAGGCGGUCUGUCGCGUCGGUCGUGAAAACUUGGGGCUUAACCCUGAGCUUGCGGUCGAUACUGGCAUGACUGGAGUUCGGCAGGGGAGACUGGAAUUCCUGGUGUAGCGGUGAAAUGCGCAGAUAUGAGGAGGAACACCGGUGGCGAAGGCGGGUCUCUGGGCCGAUACUGACGCUGAGGCGCGAAAGCGUGGGGAGCGAACAGG